CGCGUAGGUGGCCAAUUAAGUCAAAUGUGAAAUCCCCGAGCUUAACUUGGGAAUUGCAUUCGAUACUGGUUGGCUAGAGUAUGGGAGAGGACGGUAGAAUUCCAGGUGUAGCGGUGAAAUGCGUAGAGAUCUGGAGGAAUACCGAUGGCGAAGGCAGCCAUCUGGCCUAAUACUGACACUGAGGUGCGAAAGCAUGGGGAGCAAACA
Molecule: ribosomal RNA, 207 nt
Filed under: uncultured Acinetobacter sp.
Lineage: Bacteria; Pseudomonadati; Pseudomonadota; Gammaproteobacteria; Moraxellales; Moraxellaceae
Description: partial 16S ribosomal RNA
Rfam family: Bacterial small subunit ribosomal RNA
Source: RNAcentral